AAUGCCAUUCGACAGUUCGCGCAAAAGUGAGCCUGGCACAGUUUGACGCCAUCAAAGUAGCUCCUUUCCUGGAUGGUCCGGUUGAAGGGAAGUUCUUCCACGUACUUCAGUCAUUUCCCUGCCCCACGAGGAUGGCGUUGCACAAAGUAGAAAAUCCGGAGCGAAGGCAGCAAGGUAAACAAAUCUAAUGCUUAUGUGUGCGACGGUACCGCUGAAGCUAGAAAAAGGACGAUGGAAAACAGCAGAAAGAGAUGGGAUCAUUCUGGCGUGCCCUUCCACCAUACCCCGUCUGUUGGUAAGGCAAGGCAUACGACACUGAUCUGCACAUAAUCCGCGGACCUGCUGGGACCUUUUCGGAGCGAAUUGCGGAACAACGGAAAAGAGCUCUCUGGCCAGUUUCGGAUCAUUUCAUGAGGACACGCGCGCGCUGCACAUAAGCGAUUAUUUAUUUUCCAAAUCAGAUUUACAAUUCUACGGGAGAACAAGGUGUUUGGUGUGGAGGAAAUGGAGUCGUUUGUAAUGGUUGUCAUUUAUCUGAACAUGGAGCUCUUCCUAUGUACUACCAAUGAAAUAUAAUGUGUUGCUGAACUCCUACGCGCUUGUUAUCUUCAGGUGAGCUUUACGAAGGUCGACGGAGAAGUGUUGGAGCAGCAUGGAGACACGGGUAAGCGUCCUUCUCCUUCUUCCUUGUGUGUCACGGGGAAGAGAUUUCCAUGGAGCUCUCUAUUCGUCGU
This is a long non-coding RNA of Anopheles arabiensis, 734 nucleotides long. RefSeq lists it as uncharacterized. The record is from RefSeq and is a predicted model, not a curated record. Lineage: Eukaryota; Metazoa; Arthropoda; Insecta; Diptera; Culicidae. The transcript is spliced from 3 exons.